Molecule: ribosomal RNA, 521 nt
Filed under: uncultured Burkholderia sp.
Lineage: Bacteria; Pseudomonadati; Pseudomonadota; Betaproteobacteria; Burkholderiales; Burkholderiaceae
Description: bacterial SSU rRNA
Rfam family: Bacterial small subunit ribosomal RNA
Source: RNAcentral
UAAUACCGCAUACGACCUAAGGGAGAAAGCGGGGGAUCUUCGGACCUCGCGCUAUAGGGGCGGCCGAUGGCAGAUUAGCUAGUUGGUGGGGUAAAGGCCUACCAAGGCGACGAUCUGUAGCUGGUCUGAGAGGACGACCAGCCACACUGGGACUGAGACACGGCCCAGACUCCUACGGGAGGCAGCAGUGGGGAAUUUUGGACAAUGGGGGAAACCCUGAUCCAGCAAUGCCGCGUGUGUGAAGAAGGCCUUCGGGUUGUAAAGCACUUUUGUCCGGAAAGAAAACUUCCUGGUUAAUACCUGGGGAGGCUGACGGUACCGGAAGAAUAAGCACCGGCUAACUACGUGCCAGCAGCCGCGGUAAUACGUAGGGUGCGAGCGUUAAUCGGAAUUACUGGGCGUAAAGCGUGCGCAGGCGGUUUGUUAAGACAGAUGUGAAAUCCCCGGGCUUAACCUGGGAACUGCAUUUGUGACUGGCAAGCUAGAGUAUGGCAAGCUAGAGUAUGGCAAGCUAGAGUAUG